Molecule: ribosomal RNA, 458 nt
Filed under: uncultured bacterium
Lineage: Bacteria
Description: partial 16S ribosomal RNA
Rfam family: Bacterial small subunit ribosomal RNA
Source: RNAcentral
CCUACGGGAGGCAGCAGUGAGGAAUAUUGGUCAAUGGGCGAGAGCCUGAACUAGCCAAGUCGCGUGAGGGAGUACUGCCCUAUGGGUUGUAAACCUCUUUUGUCGGGGAGCAAAAGCCGGACGUGUCCGGCUGUGGGAUUACCCGUAGAAAAAGCAUCGGCUAACCCCGUGCCAGCAGCCGCGGUAAUAGGGGGGGUGCGAGCGUUAUCCGGUUUUUUUGGGUUUAAAGGGUGCUCAGGCGGAUUUUUAAGUCAGCGGUCAAAUCGUGGGGGGAAACCCCAUCCAGCCGUUGAAACUGGGGAUCUAGAGUGUGCGAGAGGUAGGCGGAAUGCGUGGUGUAGCGGUGAAAUGCAUAGAUAUCACGCAGAACCCCGAUUGCGAAGGCAGCAUACCGGUGCACAACUGACGCUCAGGCACGAAAGCGUGGGUAUCGAACAGGAUUAGAUACCCGGGUAGUC